AAAUCAAAGGAAACAUUGCACAAACAUACAGAUAUGCAUACAUAUGUACACACGCACACACACACACACCCAUAUACACAGACACAGCAAGGAAUGUACUCAAUGUUCAAUCAAUAUUUGUAAUUUCGUGCAAUUUAUCAAUAAUUUUUAUUAUCAGUUCUGUUCGUGUAAGAGGAGCAAGGAGAUUUGGUUGAUUUUGAAAAAGGAAAUACACAUAAAUGCAUAAACAAAUAGAUUUAAACACUUGAUGAUUAUGAUUUAGUUUUGAUUUAAGCUUGAUCUAUUUGCUAGACCCCUCCUCCUUUUAUCUUCAUCUCUUAAGCAAAACGAAGUCAUAUUUUGUAAUUUACGUUUAAAGUGGAUUUCUAUUCAAGUUUUCGUGCCUAAGUUUUGUAUUUUUUACAUUUACAAGAUGUUUGUAAAACAACACCAACUACAACAACCACAACCACAACAACAACAACAAAAACUACAACAGCAUCAACAAACAACUCAACAAAAUAUAUAAUUUAAAUAAAAUUAUUCAAGAAAUUAUCGUUUAUUUUUCGCA
Drosophila guanche is the source of this 550-nucleotide long non-coding RNA. RefSeq lists it as uncharacterized. The transcript has 2 exons. The record is from RefSeq and is a predicted model, not a curated record. NCBI's taxonomy places the organism in Eukaryota, Metazoa, Arthropoda, Insecta, Diptera, Drosophilidae.